Molecule: long non-coding RNA, 857 nt
Organism: Physella acuta
Lineage: Eukaryota; Metazoa; Mollusca; Gastropoda; Physidae
Source: RefSeq, a predicted model, not a curated record
UUGUAAGUUUAUCGUUCUUUCUCGCGUUAAUUCGUGUCUGGUUAGCCAGGGAGAGAUAAAAGUUUUCGAACUAAAUCAAUUGUUGUGAACGGGGUUUCCCAUUGAUAACAAAAAACAUGGCGGCUAUUUGUUAGUAGGUCCCGCUUCAAGAUUUCAAAAUCAUCAAACGUUCCAGAAAUGCAACAACUGUAAAAACUUUCAUCGCUGUUUUGUUCAUAUGGAUGGGAACAAACACAUGUGUAUGCAUUUUUGAAUAUAAAAGUUUUGUGGCGGUACUUGGCAAGCAAUUUUCUCACACUUUACUGUGGCUAUUGGUGCUGAUCUUGAACUAAAGGUAAAUGGAACAGCAUGGAUGUGGAUUUUUAGACACAAGGAAGCUGAAUUUAACUUUUAAUGAAGAAUUUAAAUGAUGAUUGUCCAUGAAAAGAAAUAUUAAUCAUAUACAUUGUAAUGCUGUAUUGAUGCAUCUUCUGUUUUAAGUAAUUAAAAAACCAUCCAUUUAUGAAAUUCUUUUCAUUUUUUUUUUCAAUUUUAAAACUGUAGUUCUGUUUUGUUAUUUGAAAACAAUGAUGAAAGUAUACUGAACUGCCAUUGAGAUAUUAAUAUAAAUGCUAUUGUUUAUAGUUUAAUUCUUUCAGAAGCAACUAUAUUGACAUCAAAACUGAAUCUUUAUUGUACACUAAGUAUAAAAGCUUACCCGCAAACCAGUCCAUGUCAACAAUUUAUUGACAUUCAAACAUUAAAUUUUUUUAAAGGUGAUUUUUCUUAAAUAAAACAGACUACUUUCAUAUGGGAUAAGAAACAUUUAAUUUUGAAAUUGAUUGGUUUAUUAAAUUUUAAUGGAGCUGAAACUAAAA